Molecule: long non-coding RNA, 462 nt
Organism: Cyprinus carpio (common carp)
Lineage: Eukaryota; Metazoa; Chordata; Actinopteri; Cypriniformes; Cyprinidae
Exons: 2
Source: RefSeq, a predicted model, not a curated record
ACAUGGCACCUUUAAAACAAAAUGAAAAAGUAACGUUAAAGGUCCAAAUAGAGGAAAAUGCUUUAAUAACAAAUUUGCACAUGGUGGUUUAUUACACAACGCCAAAAGGAAAAGAAAAAAUGGGUUCCGGAGAACAAAGUUUUUGAUGGGUGGUUAAAAGAGGGUCAGGGGUUUGCUUUCAAAAGGAAGGAGAAAAUAAAACACGAAUACAACAAACUUCUUCGAAAAGAGAAGAAGAAAAUGCAAGCAUCAAUAGGCCUGUCACGAUAACAAAUUUUGCUGGACGAUAAAUUGUCCAAGAAAUUAUUGCGAUAAACGAUAAUAUUGUCGUUCUAAGACCAGUUUAAACUAAUAUAAUGAUAAUGGCAUAUUAAUGCAGGUACACCUUUUCAAAGAUCAAUAAACUUUUAUUUCUAAAGAAUAUUUAACACUGAAAACGGAAAACAUUUUAAAUAUCCACAA